UACGUAGGGUGCGAGCGUUAAUCGGAAUUACUGGGCGUAAAGCGUGCGCAGGCGGUUUUGUAAGACAGGCGUGAAAUCCCCGGGCUCAACCUGGGAACUGCGCUUGUGACUGCAUCACUUGAGUACGGCAGAGGGGGGUGGAAUUCCACGUGUAGCAGUGAAAUGCGUAGAGAUGUGGAGGAACACCGAUGGCGAAGGCAGCCCCCUGGGUCGAUACUGACGCUCAUGCACGAAAGCGUGGGUAGCAAACAGGAUUAGAUACCCUGGUAGUCCACGCCCUAAACGAUGUCAACUAGGUGUUGGGUGGGUAAAACCAUUUAGUACCGUAGCUAACGCGUGAAGUUGACCGCCUGGGGAGUACGGCCGCAAGGUUAAAACUCAAAGGAAUUGACGGGGACCCGCACAAGCGGUGGAUGAUGUGGAUUAAUUCGGUGCAACGCGAAAAACCUUACCUACCCUUGACAUGUCCAGAAGCCUGAAGAGAUUUGGGUGUGCCCGAAAGGGAACUGGAACACAGGUGCUGCAUGGCUGUCGUCAGCUCGUGUCGUGAGAUGUUGGGUUAAGUCCCGCAACGAGCGCAACCCUUGUCGUUAAUUGCCAUCAUUUAGUUGGGCACUUUAACGAGACUGCCGGUGACAAACCGGAGGAAGGUGGGGAUGACGUCAAGUCCUCAUGGCCCUUAUGGGUAGGGCUUCACACGUCAUACAAUGGUCGGUACAGAGGGUUGCCAAGCCGCGAGGUGGAGCCAAUCCCAGAAAGCCGAUCGUAGUCCGGAUUGGAGGCUGCAACUCGCCUCCAUGAAGUCGGAAUCGCUAGUAAUCGCGGAUCAGCAUGUCGCGGUGAAUACGUUCCCGGGUCU
Molecule: ribosomal RNA, 859 nt
Filed under: uncultured bacterium
Lineage: Bacteria
Description: bacterial SSU rRNA
Rfam family: Bacterial small subunit ribosomal RNA
Source: RNAcentral